GUGUGCCUGCCUCCUGAGUGUGUGAGACGAGCUGGGAUCAUGAGCCAGGGUUGUUCCAAGUGGUUUUAAUCAGCAGCCCAUUAGAGGAGAACGGAAAACUUCAAACAGGGUUGUUCCAGUAACUCCAUGGGAAGGUGUUCCCCAAACCUCUGCUCCUCUGGAACUUGUGACUUCUUGCCUGGCACCAGGAAAACACUCAGCAGCAGAAAUGGGAAAAUUCAUGUUAGUUUUGGGUGAAGUGUGCCUCUGACGUGUUUUACCCUGGCAAGACGUGGCUGCUUGGACUGCAUCUGCAAUGUGGCAAAGGGCAGAGUGAGGUUGGCAAAGAGGCCAUGGUGUGUGGGCAAGUCCCCAAAUGCCGCAGGCUUUGUCGCCCUCGUCCCUUCCUUCUGGCCUUAGUGGUGGCCCUCUGUCUGUUCUGCCAGACCCUGACUCCUCUCAUGACCAGCAGCAUCCUUUCGGCAGUUGUUAAUGGGAUUGCACCCAACAAACUGGCUAAAACACAGCGAGGAGGAUACAAGGAGGUCUCCCCAAGCACCAUUCACUGCUUCCUCCCUGGCAGCAAUUCAGAAACAGUGAAAAAGGCAUAGACAAUGCAUCAAUAUUUAUGGAAUUAUGUAAUAUUCUUGGAAUUUGAAAGAGCUGCCAAGGAACUGUUUUGCUUUCUUCAACUUGAAAUAUCUUCACUAUUUUCUUCUUGGCCAAAACAAAAGCAGUAAUUAUACAUCAUAAGAUUCAGUUACUGACCAAAUUGUAGAUUUUUGGAACAACCCAGAAAUUCUGUACAAUAGAGGAAAGCUUCAGAGACUAGUAGAAUCAAUUAUACCCUUAUACAUUCAUAACCUAGAAUUGGAUAUACCAGUUUCAAGGGAAAUGUCAAAACAUUUUCUUUUUAAUAGAGAACUUCACAGCUCCCUGGAAGUUGCAGACAGACUGAACUAAGAAUUGCAACUCUGAAAAUGGAUGUCUAUUUUCAGUUCCAAAAGCAUGGUUACAUAAUUCUUCAGCUUUUAUAUUACAUAAACUGGGCCUUUUAUCUUGUUUGUUAAGACAUC
This 1055-nucleotide long non-coding RNA is filed under the name Geospiza fortis (medium ground-finch). RNAcentral's name for it is "lncRNA (ENSGFOG00000011971.1)". The record is from RNAcentral. Lineage: Eukaryota; Metazoa; Chordata; Aves; Passeriformes; Thraupidae.